CUAUCUCAACCCUAGCGAUGUUGUCAUGACGUUGCUCAGCGGAUUGGAACAUGGACUUGGCGGGGUUUGCCCUGCCGGUCUUAAAUGGAGUAGGCUAGCCGACUAUCAGCGGUUUGACCGGGUGUUGUAGAGUCGCCUCACUCGGGACGCUGAUCGGAUUAGUUGGAUUGUAAUUGUAUUACUCGAGCGA
This 190-nucleotide unclassified non-coding RNA is filed under the name uncultured Basidiomycota. RNAcentral's name for it is "sequence contains ITS2". Lineage: Eukaryota; Fungi; Basidiomycota. The record is from RNAcentral.